This 442-nucleotide ribosomal RNA is filed under the name uncultured Synergistaceae bacterium. Its description in RNAcentral is "bacterial SSU rRNA". It matches the Rfam family "Bacterial small subunit ribosomal RNA", at positions 338 to 795 of the family's 1533-position model. The record is from RNAcentral. Lineage: Bacteria; Thermotogati; Synergistota; Synergistia; Synergistales; Synergistaceae.
CCUACGGGCGGCUGCAGUGGGGAAUAUUGGGCAAUGGGGGCAACCCUGACCCAGCGACGCCGCGUGGGGGAAGACGGCCUUCGGGUUGUAAACCUCUUUUGUACGGGAAGAAGGAAGUGACGGUACUGUACGAAUAAGUCCCGGCUAACUACGUGCCAGCAGCCGCGGUAAUACGUAGGGGACGAGCGUUGUCCGGAAUUACUGGGCGUAAAGGGCGCGCAGGCUGUGCUGCAAGUCAGCUGUUAAAUGUCUGGGCUUAACCCGGGCAUGCGGUUGAGACUGCAGUGCUGGAGUGCUGUAGAGGCAAGUGGAAUUCCCAGUGUAGCGGUGAAAUGCGUAGAUAUUGGGAAGAACACCGGUGGCGAAGGCGACUUGCUGGGCAGCAACUGACGCUGAGGCGCGAAAGCCAGGGGAGCAAACGGGAUUAGAUACCCCAGUAGUC